UAGGGAAUCUUCGGCAAUGGACGAAAGUCUGACCGAGCAACGCCGCGUGAGUGAAGAAGGUUUUCGGAUCGUAAAACUCUGUUGUUAGAGAAGAACAAGGACGUUAGUAACUGAACGUCCCCUGACGGUAUCUAACCAGAAAGCCACGGCUAACUACGUGCCAGCAGCCGCGGUAAUACGUAGGUGGCAAGCGUUGUCCGGAUUUAUUGGGCGUAAAGCGUGCGCAGGCGGUUUCUUAAGUCUGAUGUGAAAGCCCCCGGCUCAACCGGGGAGGGUCAUUGGAAACUGGGAUACUGGAGUGCAGAAGAGGAGAGUGGAAUUCCAUGUGUAGCGGUGAGAUGCGUAAAUAUGUGGAGGAACACCAGUGGCGAAGGCGGCUCUCUGGUCUGUAACUGACGAUGAGGCUCGAAAGCGUGGGGAGCAAACAGG
RNAcentral lists this ribosomal RNA (429 nucleotides) under Gemmatimonadota bacterium. RNAcentral's name for it is "Gemmatimonadetes bacterium partial 16S ribosomal RNA". It matches the Rfam family "Bacterial small subunit ribosomal RNA", at positions 355 to 776 of the family's 1533-position model. The record is from RNAcentral. Lineage: Bacteria; Pseudomonadati; Gemmatimonadota.